GUGGCCGUAGCUCAGCUGGUAGAGCAUCAGUUUGUGGUACUGAGGGUCGCGGGUUCGAAACCCGUCGGUCACCCCA
This 76-nucleotide transfer RNA is filed under the name Acidobacteriota bacterium. RNAcentral describes it as "Acidobacteria bacterium tRNA-His". It matches the Rfam family "tRNA". Rfam says of the family: Transfer RNA (tRNA) molecules are approximately 80 nucleotides in length. The record is from RNAcentral. Lineage: Bacteria; Pseudomonadati; Acidobacteriota. RNAcentral also lists the same sequence under 4 other names.